ACGAACGCUGGCGGCGUGCUUAACACAUGCAAGUCGAACGGUGAAGCACCUUCCUUUUUGGUGGGUGUGGAUGAGUGGCGAACGGGUGAGUAACACGUGAGUAACCUGCCCCCUUCUUCUGGAUAACCGCAUGAAAGUGUGGCUAAUACGGGAUAUUCUGGGUCUGUCGCAUGAUGGGUCUGGGAAAGAUAUUGUUUCGGUGGGGGAUGGGCUCGCGGCCUAUCAGCUUGUUGGUGGGGUGAUGGCCUACCAAGGCGGUGACGGGUAGCCGGCCUGAGAGGGUGGACGGUCACACUGGGACUGAGACACGGCCCAGACUCCUACGGGAGGCAGCAGUGGGGAAUAUUGCACAAUGGGCGCAAGCCUGAUGCAGCGACGCCGCGUGAGGGAUGGAGGCCUUCGGGUUGUGAACCUCUUUCGCCAGUGAAGCAGGCCUGCCUCGUUUGUGGGUGGGUUGACGGUAGCUGGAUAAGAAGCGCCGGCUAACUACGUG
RNAcentral lists this ribosomal RNA (493 nucleotides) under uncultured bacterium. Its description in RNAcentral is "partial 16S ribosomal RNA". It matches the Rfam family "Bacterial small subunit ribosomal RNA", at positions 29 to 507 of the family's 1533-position model. The record is from RNAcentral.